UGUCCUAUGGUGUAAUGGUAGCACAGGAGGCUCUAACCCUCCAGGUCUGGGUUCGAUUCGAUAGUGGGACAA
Molecule: transfer RNA, 72 nt
Filed under: Bacteriophage sp.
Description: tRNA-OTHER
Rfam family: tRNA
About the family: Transfer RNA (tRNA) molecules are approximately 80 nucleotides in length.
Source: RNAcentral